RNAcentral lists this transfer RNA (95 nucleotides) under Malassezia globosa CBS 7966. It matches the Rfam family "tRNA". From Rfam's summary of the family: Transfer RNA (tRNA) molecules are approximately 80 nucleotides in length. Their secondary structure includes four short double-helical elements and three loops (D, anti-codon, and T loops). The record is from Rfam by way of RNAcentral. Lineage: Eukaryota; Fungi; Basidiomycota; Malasseziomycetes; Malasseziales; Malasseziaceae.
GGCCGGUUAGCACAAUUGGUAGUGUGUCUGACUACGAUGACUCUAAAGGGUCUUAGUUCAUCAGGAGGUUGCGGGUUCGAGCCCCGUGCUGGUCA